GUUUUAAUAAUUUAAAAAAAAUAAUGAUUUUGUAAAUCAUUCAUAGGAAUUAACCUUUAAAACU
RNAcentral lists this transfer RNA (64 nucleotides) under Mileewa alara. RNAcentral describes it as "tRNA-Thr". The record is from RNAcentral. Lineage: Eukaryota; Metazoa; Arthropoda; Insecta; Hemiptera; Cicadellidae.